Molecule: long non-coding RNA, 6487 nt
Filed under: Sus scrofa (pig)
Lineage: Eukaryota; Metazoa; Chordata; Mammalia; Artiodactyla; Suidae
Description: lncRNA (ENSSSCG00000045249.2)
Source: RNAcentral
GAGCUGGGCUCGCUGAAGCCAGCGGCGGCAGUGAGCCGGGCCUUCCGCCCUCGCCUCUCCGAAGUCAGCAGCCGCUUCCCUGCCGGGAUUAGAACCCGGAUGUUACCCCCAUUGCUCAGGGGGUGUCCAGUCUAGCGCCCGCUCGCCGCCCCCGGCGGAGAAGGCGCGCCCUGCCCGCCCUGGUUCCCACGGCCCGCGGCCUCUGCUGUUUCCUGCCCUGUGUGAGUGUUACCCCCCGUGUCUGCACCGAUUUCCCUGGGGGAUCCGUCCUGCGACCCGCGGCCCUUCGAGGGCCGGUCGCCCGCCCCCUUCCCCUCGCCCAGUCCCCCAUCCUGAAGCAAUUUCCUCAGGGACUGCCGCUGGCCUCGGAGGGUCCCUGGGCCUUACUGCCAGGCUCUCAGGCGGCUUGGAGAGGCGUCCCCGCGGGGGUACUAGGGCAUGGCUGCAGGUCCUGGUGGGCUGAGCAGCCCCUCAGGCCGGGUAGGGGAGGGCGGGCGCUGCGAGUGGGGGGCGGCUGGAGAGGAGCAGUGGGAGCUGGAGCCCCUGGCGCUGGACUUGUCACCUAAAGCAGCCAAGGCAGGCUCCAGCAGGGACCAGACCCAGGCUGCGGCGCUGGCCAGAGAAACACCAACACAAGGUCGCGCUCAGGCCUCGGAACCCCUCGAACCCCUUGCCAGGAUCCUCCCAGUUCAGCCGGGUCAGGGCUGAAGCCUGGGGGAUACCGUGACCCCCACCAAGCAGCCCCAGCUGCAGGUACAGCCCCUUCCCGACCCCCACUCCAGCCUGGAGGCUGCCAGGGACCCAAGGUGAGGAAGGCCCAGCCUCAGGGGUGGGGGGUGGGGGCUACCCCAGCUCCCUCAGGCCCUCAGGCCCCCACCACGCUCCCUCCCUCAGCUCCAGAGGUGAUUAACGUCUCGGAACCCUGGCCCCUGCUGGGCCAGGACACCCUACACACUCUGGGACUGCACACUUGCCAGGGCCUGGGGAAGGAGGGCAGGUGCCUUGGGGGAGAGGGCCCGGCCAUACUGUCUCCUCUCUGCCAUUCCCCGGGGCCCUGGGGGGUGGGAGGCCUACAGCUCAGGGCCUGCCAGGGAGGGGUAGGCCAGAGAUCAAAGAUCACCAGGGAGACAGCUGAGGGGCCCACACACCCAGGACCCUCUCUCAGAACAGCCCCAGCAGCUGGCGAAGGGGGAAAGAGGAAGGCUGUCCCCAAGGCCAUGGCCCUGGCCGAGGCUGGGUCCUGGCCUGGCCAGGCCCUGCCCCCGCGUGGUGAGACUUAGACCUGACGGAGAGCGGUCCAGCCUCAGGAAGUCCUGAGGAGCAAAAGCACGCAGGGGGACCACAGACCAGGUCCUCCUGGGCGCCCAGCCCUGAUCCCGCCCCGCCCCCAGUAUCUGGAGAUUUGGGGAAACAGGCUGGGCACAGGGAGAAUCAGCGGCUGUUUUCGUUUCAAUGGUCCCGAAAGGUUUAAAGGCACUUUUCAAGCUGAGCAAAGCUUUGGGGAUUCAUGUGGCUGGUAGAGGCCAAGCUGGGGAACCCCGCACUGCUAGGGGGUCAGGUUGCCCCGUCCCUGUUGCCCUCCUCGGGGCUCCUGGCUCUGUUGGGUCGGCUGAGGCUGCGGAGGCAUGGGCUGACUGCACAGAGGUGCUCUACGUGCUGUGGGGUUUGGGAACAGACUUGUCGCUGGGGUUUGGGGGACAGACAGACAGAUGGGAAAGGGGCCUUUCACCACCACUUCAGCUCGGCGCUCAGCCCACUCCCAGCCUUUCCCGCAAGCAGGGAGCUGCAGCAGGAGACCCAAGAUCAGAUGAACUCCUUUGGGAAAGGGCUGGGCUCAGGAGAGAGAGAGAGUGAGGUUGGUCCUUCAGGGGCGGGGGGAGCUGUAAUAAGCCUCCUUGAGGGCAGUGGGUUGGUCCCCAGCCCCGAGGCUCUCCAAAGAACCACACUGAGACAUCAUGCACUCCCCGUGUCCACACUGCAGGGCUAGAGGGUUCCUUUGCUCGCCAGGAAGGGGUGCAGGGUCAGAGCCCUCCAGCUGCCCUGCCCAGGCCCUCGGAUCCAGGGAGCCCCUCUGUGAACUUCCAGGCGGGGAGGUGGGAGCAGGCAGCCGAUGGGCCAGAUGCACUGACCCACUGGGCGGCUUCCCGCUGCCCUUCUCCCCCGCUGCGCCCCCUUGGCCACCGGCUUCGGGCACUCAGUCUCCCACUCUGCAGGAUUCCUGGUCGAAUUUUGUUCACCCUCCAGUUCCUGCUCAGAAAGGAGUAGUUAAGAGAAUAAAAGCUCCCUUAGUUUACCCCAGGGCUCCUCUCUGAGGCCCGGAGAGGCUCCGAACAGGUCCAGACCACCAGUCCUUGUCCCACCCCCAACUUGGGGCCUGAGUCAGGUGGGGACAAGGGUCUCCCUCUGCGGGCAGAUUCUGCCCUGAACUAGGUGGAUGUGGCUCCCAGCAGAGCAACAGAAGGAGACCCCGAGGGAUGCUUGGGGACAAGCCGGCUUGGUUCCUACCGCACAGAGAGGGACGGGGAGAUGGGAGAUGGUCCCGGCGCCCAGCCUUGGAGCCAGCGGGGACUACGGACGGCGGAGGUCUCCAGCCUGGGGUGAACAGCAGGGUUCGGUCUCGCAAGGGGUGGGGGCGCAGACAACCCGCAGAGCCCUCUCCUCCCCAGCCUGGCCUCCGCUCUGGCCCACAGCCGCUGCUGCCCCCCACACCAUGCCGCAGCUCCGGUCACAGGAGCCUCCCUGGACUCUGGGGUUAAUAUUUCAGGCCCCCUUUUGCCCCUUGUCCUACCCCAGGCCCAGCGACACUCACAGUGACCCAGAUACCUUUGGAGGACAAAAGGACACAGGCCCUCAUUUCUGGCCCAGUGAGUUCAGAGGCCACGUGGCAAGGCUGCUCCCUACGCAGAUCAGAGUGAAGGCCUUCCCACACCCACACCCCUGCCCAGGUUCUCGAGUGGCUUCAAGAGAGGCUUGGGGACGCUCCCGACCAUGACUCCCCAGGAAUGCGAACCGUGUAGCCGAUGUCGCACAAACCCCAGAUGUAGGAAAGCCUCCUUCCUUCUGGGAGGGAGGAAGCACUCUCCUGAGCGGGCAGCCUCCUGGGAGGGCCCGUGACUUCUCUGCCCGAAUCUGCAUCCUGGCUGGGCCGUCUCCCAGGAGCACAGGUACCUGUGAGUCCGCACUUGGGGGCUGCUUGUGCUUGGGGUGGGGGUGGGGGUGUAAUCGCGAGUGUUGUUUUCUUUUUUUAAUUUAAGAGAUUGAGGCGGUGGGCUUGAACUCCCUCCUUUGAGCCAGGUGAGAGUUGGCCCCCAUAUCCCAGCGGAACCAGCACCCCGGGAAGCGCAGGAAGGUCCAGCAAGCCCUUCCCCGGCCUCGGGAACAGUGGGCCGGGCUCAGCGGCUGAGUCGCGGCUACAGCAGCCACGCGCGGGAUCCAGCCGCGGAGAGGAGCAAACGGAAUCGGUUUCCCACGCUGUCCCUCUCCCUCCCCGAACCUUUUAAAACCUGCUCACGAAGUCCGGCGCCCAGUUUUCGCCCCUCUUGAGCCUGGCGUUCACGCGGUGCCCCAGUCACCAGCGCCGCCCGAGGAGGGGACCCUCGGCCGCCCGCACUCCCUGCCACCCGCCCGCGCACGCAGGGAGCAACUUGGUUCCCCUGAGCAUCCUGGCCCCGCGGCCUGGGCAGGGCUCCGCGCGGCAGAGGUGGCACCGUGGUCGCUCCGGAACGCCGCCCGCGUGGAUGCGACGGCCUCCUCCCGCUCCCGGUUCCGGCUCCCGGCCGGCGGGUCCCCGACAACAACGAACACGGCGAGCCGCCUGGCCUCCCCGGCUUCCGAGUCCCGGGGAUCUCUGGGUGGGAGCUCGCCCUCCCGGUCCCCAGGGGCGCCAGAGCGGAGCACACCGCCAGGCCGCCCGGGAACCGAGCGGACUCCCCACACCGGCUCGCCUUCGGAUCCACACCUCGUCUGCCGCGUCCUCGGGACUUGGUUCCGGUCCCCACCCCGCCGACCCCUUUAGUUCGGAAACCAAAUUUCGUUUUUGGUCCCCGGCUCCUCCGCAGGGGUCGCCGUGGAGAAGCUGCCACGGAGGGUUUCCGCUCCAAGCCUCAACUUGCCCAUCUGUGAACAGGGCCAGGUACUGCUUGCUGAGCCCCGCUCAGGGUUGAUGGGGGCUUGGCUGGGAGAGGGGACGAUGGGGAAUGCCCGACAGAGCCAGCGCUGCCCACCUUUCGGGCCCCAUCGUGCAGGCGGGGUUCAGAGGUGGUGCCCAGACCACAAGGGGCCCAAAGCUGCUCCUGAGCAAUCACCACCCUCCCUGCCCUUCCCCCACCCAACCCUGGAGGGAGCGUGAGGGAGGAGGUGCGAGGGUCCAGAUUGGCGCCCAGGGCCUCUCCGCCCCAGGACGGGCUUUUGCUGGCCUCAGGCUCUUGUCUCAGGUUCCACUGGGGCACUGAGGAGGGAGGUUUAACCCAACACGCCCCAGCUCUCGGGGUGGCACCACCGGCACCCCACAUCUCUCAGAGGGUGGGUGCCUGAGCUGGGAGGGGGGACAGGCAGGCCACAGAAGCCCGGGUUCCAGCUGGGCCCCAGGAAGGGAAUGGGCCCCGCCCUCCUCCUCCCCAAGCCUCCAGCCGGGUGGGGGGCAUGCCUGGGCAGGGCCCUGAGGAGGGGCCCUGGGGCUUGACCCUGAGCUUAGAGACCGCCUGAAACUGCCCCCCUGGGUGGUGAGGAGGGGAUGGGGGAGCCAGGGGAGGGGCACGGCCUAUUCACACCAUCCAGGCUGCCCUCUGCUUCUGGGCCCGACCAACGGGGGAGGAGAAUCAUUGGGGGGGGGAGUGCCAAAUGGACACACCCUCCCCAGGUCCCUUUACUUGCUCCUGAACCAGUAAUGGAGGUGGCUUUCUGAACCAGCAAGAAAGGGCAGAGACCAGACCGCCCCAGGCAGGGAAGAAAUUACCUCUUGUGCUGAGUGACCCGAAGCUGAUGGAAUCAGUCAGGGGUUCCUGUCCCCUGGGGCAAGGCCACCUGCUCCUGUUCCCAGCGCCCAGCCCACGACUCUGGGGCUAUCAGAGGGAGCAGGGCAUAGGCAGUUCUGGGCUCUGCUGCCAGGGCUUUGCCACCUCCGGACGGCGGGGCUCCCUCCCCCAUCCCCCACCCUCCCUCUCUCAUCAGGCAAGGUUCCCAGGUGACAGGCCAGCGAUGAGAGUGGCAGGGACUCACCUACACAGGGCCCUGCAGCUCGGGCAGGUCAAGGGACCUCACUGAGGACCAACCGUGUGCAGGGACGGCGGGCAAGGGCAAUGCUGGCAGUUCUGUCCUGGGCAGCCCUUCUGAUGAUGAAUUACAGUGAGGGGGCAUGUUGGGUGGGGGGCGGCAGAGGGCUUGAAGGGCACUGUGCCCACUCACACAGCAUCCCUCCCCUGCUCCCGCCCCAGGCAGGCAGAUGGCUUGGGGGUUGGGGGGAGGGGACAGGAGGAGCUGAGCCUAGUCAGAGCCCACUGCUUCCCCAUUCACCUGGGGCCCUCGGUCAGCCCCCCACCCCAGCUUUCUAGGCACCCCCAUUUCCUUUUAUAUAAUCCAGAGGUAGACUAGCAGCUUUGGUGGGGACAGCUGCCUGCAGGUGCAGGGCCUGGCACCUCCUAGGAGCUCUGUGGGUUGUUAAAGCGGGGAUGAAACCCCCCCCCACCGAGGCAGGGGGUCCCAGGACCUCUGACCCCUCCUCUCCUGGAAGCAAGGCCCCUUGCCUGGAGGGCAGCCCCCUGCUUCCCUGUAGCACACAGAGGCAAGUCGGGCCAGGAAGGAGGACGGGGCUCCUGGGAGCUGUGUGUCCCGUUCCUCUGCAGAUCCCAACCUCCCAGAGUCGGGCCCCACCCUCCUGACCUGGUCAGACUGGAGGCUGUCCGAGGGCUGGCUGGUCUCCUGGCAUCUGCCAGCAGGACUUCUCACGGGGCCAGCGCCUGCCCACUGAGAGGCCAGGGCCCUUAGAUCUUGCUGUAGACCUAACAUCAUUUGUUCCUUCGUCCAUGAAUGGACGAAGGGCCAGAGGCCUGGUCAUGGCCUGGACCUUCCACAGGGGAGCAGCGGAGCGUGAAGACCUGCGGCUUCCAGGGAAUCUCAUGGCCCCGCCCCACCCACCUCCCCACCAAGGGCCCCGUGCUCUGCCCAAGGCUGGGAGUGUGUUUGGUGCUCAGGGAAGGAAUAAUGAAUGAAGAGGCUGAGUGAGUAGAAAGUGACCUGGGGUGGGGGGGAGUCGCCAUUGUGGCGCAGAGAAAACGAAUCCGACUAGGAACCAUGAGGUUGCGGGUUUGAUCCCUGCCCUUGCUUAGCAGGUUAAGGAUCAGUCGUUGCCGUGAGCUCUGGUGUGGGUCGCAGACGCGGCUCAGAUUUGUGUUGCCGCGGCUGUGGUGCAGGCCGGCAGCUGUAGCUCCGAUUGGAUCCCUAGCUUGGGAACCUCCAUAUGCUGCGGGUGGGGCCCUGAAAAAACAAAAAG